This 61-nucleotide non-coding RNA is filed under the name unclassified sequences. RNAcentral describes it as "RAGATH-18 RNA". It matches the Rfam family "RAGATH-18 RNA". Rfam says of the family: Actinobacteria, Firmicutes, Fusobacteria, Thermotogae (1 example). The record is from Rfam by way of RNAcentral.
CCUUCGGACUGUCAGACAAACCUUAGUAGCUUAGGCCAACAGGGACAGGUUGAACAAGGAA